Molecule: ribosomal RNA, 369 nt
Filed under: Triticum aestivum (bread wheat)
Lineage: Eukaryota; Viridiplantae; Streptophyta; Magnoliopsida; Poales; Poaceae
Description: partial small subunit ribosomal RNA
Source: RNAcentral
GAUGAACUUACCGUUGUUCUUCUGAGCAGCCUCCUCGUCGCAGCAGCAAGCUUGCAAUGCUUGUGGAGCCUCGCUCUGGGCGCUGUGGACAUCUACGCACUUCUUGUCAAGCGUUCCUUCCGGUCUCCUCGAGCCACCACCAUAUAUUCCAUCGGGGACUGGGUCACAGGCGCGCUGACGUUCGCUGCAGCAAGUGGAUCAGCAGGCAUCACCAUUCUCCUCGACGACGACCUGAUGUUGUGCUCGGAGAACCACUGCCCAAGCUUCAUGGCCGCCACCGCCAUGGCUUUCUUUAGCUGGUUCGCGAUCGCGCCGUCCUGCCUCUUUAACCUCAUGAUGGCGGUCUACAGAGUGCAGAGAGCUUCGUAG